Molecule: ribosomal RNA, 301 nt
Filed under: uncultured bacterium
Lineage: Bacteria
Description: partial 16S ribosomal RNA
Rfam family: Bacterial small subunit ribosomal RNA
Source: RNAcentral
CAGCCGCCACGGUAAUACGAAGGGGGCUAGCGUUGUUCGGAAUUACUGGGCGUAAAGCGCACGUAGGCGGAUAUUUAAGUCAGGGGUGAAAUCCCGCAGCUCAACUGCGGAACUGCCUUUGAUACUGGGUAUCUUGAGUAUGGAAGAGGUUAGUGGAAUUGCGAGUGUAGAGGUGAAAUUCGUAGAUAUUCGCAGGAACACCAGUGGCGAAGGCGGCUAACUGGUUCAUAACUGACGCUGAGGUGCGAAAGCGUGGGGAGCAAACAGGAUUAGAUACCCGAGUAGUCCCUGUCUCUUAUAC